This 468-nucleotide ribosomal RNA is filed under the name uncultured bacterium. Its description in RNAcentral is "partial 16S ribosomal RNA". It matches the Rfam family "Bacterial small subunit ribosomal RNA", at positions 28 to 507 of the family's 1533-position model. The record is from RNAcentral.
GACGAACGCUGGCGGCGUGCUUAACACAUGCAAGUCGAACGGAAAGGCCCUGCUUUUGUGGGGUGCUCGAGUGGCGAACGGGUGAGUAACAGGUGAGUAACCUGCCCUUGACUUUGGGAUAACUUCAGGAAACUGGGGCUAAUAUCGGAUAGGAGCUCCUGCUGCAUGGAGGGGGUUGGAAAGUUUCGGCGGUUGGGGAUGGACUCGCGGCUUAUCAGCUUGUUGGUGGGGUAGUGGCUUACCAAGGCUUUGACGGGUAGCCGGCCUGAGAGGGUGACCGGCCACAUUGGGACUGAGAUACGGCCCAGACUGCUACGGGAGGCAGCAGUGGGGAAUAUUGCACAAUGGGCGGAAGCCUGAUGCAGCAACGCCGCGUGCGGGAUGACGGCCUUCGGGUUGUAAACCGCUUUCGCCUGUGACGAAGCGUGAGUGACGGUAAUGGGUAAAGAAGCACCGGCUAACUACGUG